CAGCCGCCGCGGUAAAACAGAGGGUGCGAGCGUUAAUCGGAUUUACUGGGCGUAAAGCGUGCGUAGGCGGCUUUUUAAGUCGGAUGUGAAAUCCCUGAGCUUAACUUAGGAAUUGCAUUCGAUACUGGGAAGCUAGAGUAUGGGAGAGGAUGGUAGAAUUCCAGGUGUAGCGGUGAAAUGCGUAGAGAUCUGGAGGAAUACCGAUGGCGAAGGCAGCCAUCUGGCCUAAUACUGACGCUGAGGUACGAAAGCAUGGGGAGCAAACAGGAUUAGAGACCCCCGUAGUCCCUGUCUCUUAUAC
RNAcentral lists this ribosomal RNA (301 nucleotides) under uncultured bacterium. Its description in RNAcentral is "partial 16S ribosomal RNA". It matches the Rfam family "Bacterial small subunit ribosomal RNA", at positions 509 to 807 of the family's 1533-position model. The record is from RNAcentral.